RNAcentral lists this ribosomal RNA (405 nucleotides) under uncultured bacterium. RNAcentral's name for it is "bacterial SSU rRNA". It matches the Rfam family "Bacterial small subunit ribosomal RNA", at positions 917 to 1344 of the family's 1533-position model. The record is from RNAcentral.
GGGCCCGCACAAGCGGUGGAGCAUGUGGUUUAAUUCGAUGCAACGCGAAGAACCUUACCUGGUCUUGACAUACACAGAAUCUUGUAGAGAUACGAGAGUGCCUUCGGGAAUUGUGAUACAGGUGCUGCAUGGCUGUCGUCAGCUCGUGUCGUGAGAUGUUGGGUUAAGUCCCGCAACGAGCGCAACCCUUGUCCUUAGUUACCAGCACUUCGGGUGGGAACUCUAAGGAUACUGCCAGUGACAAACUGGAGGAAGGCGGGGACGACGUCAAGUCAUCAUGGCCCUUACGACCAGGGCUACACACGUGCUACAAUGGCAGUGACAAUGGGUUAAUCCCCAAAAACUGUCUCAGUUCGGAUUGUCGUCUGCAACUCGACGGCAUGAAGGUGGAAUCGCUAGUAAUCG